RNAcentral lists this ribosomal RNA (890 nucleotides) under Rinodina capensis. RNAcentral's name for it is "SSU rRNA". It matches the Rfam family "Bacterial small subunit ribosomal RNA", at positions 370 to 1298 of the family's 1533-position model. The record is from RNAcentral. Lineage: Eukaryota; Fungi; Ascomycota; Lecanoromycetes; Caliciales; Physciaceae.
AAUAGCCUAACGGCUGAACCAGCAACUUGGAGGAAUGUAUAGCGAAAGCUAGUUGCAUUUAACUUAGCUUUUGCUAAGUUGGUGCAAGAUCGACUAUGUCGAAUAAAGUUCUAGGUGGGAUAUGAUGAUGACAUUUCCUAUCUAUGUGUCUUGACCAAAUUACGUGCCAGCAGUCGCGGUAACACGUAGAAGACUAGUGUUAUUCAUCUUUAAUAGGUUUAAAGGGUACCUAGACGGUAAAUCAAGUCCGAAAAGGAUACUAAUUUACUAGAGUUUAAUGUGAGGGGGCACUAAAGUACUGAUAAGUGUAGAGAUGAAAUUCUGUGAUACAAUAUACGGCACUGGUAAAGGCGAAAGCAUCUCAUUAUGUAAUAACUGACGUUGAGGGACGAAGGCUAGGUGUAGCAAAAAGGAUUAGAUACCCAAGUAGUCUUAGCAGAAAAUUAUGAAUGUCAUAGGAUAGAAAAAUGGACAAAAAAUUUUUUUUCUAUAAAUGAAAGUGUAAGCAUUCCACCUCGAGAGUAAUUUGGCAACAUUGGAACUGAAAUCAUUAGACCGUUUCUGAAACAAGUAGUGAAGUAUGUUGUUUAAUUUGAUAGUCCGCAAAAAACCUUACCACAAUUUGAAUAGAAAAUUUUAUUUCAUACAAGCGCUGCACGGUUGUCUUCAGUUAAUGUCGUGAGAUCUUGGUUAGUUCCAUUAAAUUAACGUAAACCCUUAUUUUAUUUUUAUAUAGAGUAGUUCACCGCUAGAUUGGAUGUGAUAACAGGGACUAAGACAAGUCAUCAUGGCCUUAAUAUUGUGGGCUAUAGACGUGCCACAUAUGCCUUACAAAGGGAUGCAAAAUUGCGAAAUUGAGCUAAUCCCCUAAAAAUGGAUAAAAACUUAAU